GACGAACCGUGCGAACGUUAUUCGGAAUCCCUGGGCUUAAAGCGCGUGUAGGCGGGCCAGCACGUCGGGCGCUGAAAUCCCCCGGCUCAACCGGGGAACGGGCACCGAUACGACUGGCCUGGAGGGGAGUAGGGGGACCUGGAACUUCCGGUGGAGCGGUGAAAUGCGUUGAGAUCGGAAGGAACGCCCGUGGCGAAAGCGAGGUCCUGGACGUCUGCUGACGCUGAGACGCGAAAGCCAGGGGAGCGAACGGG
This 254-nucleotide ribosomal RNA is filed under the name uncultured bacterium. RNAcentral describes it as "partial 16S ribosomal RNA". It matches the Rfam family "Bacterial small subunit ribosomal RNA", at positions 524 to 776 of the family's 1533-position model. The record is from RNAcentral.